This 253-nucleotide ribosomal RNA is filed under the name uncultured bacterium. Its description in RNAcentral is "partial 16S ribosomal RNA". It matches the Rfam family "Bacterial small subunit ribosomal RNA", at positions 524 to 776 of the family's 1533-position model. The record is from RNAcentral.
UACGUAGGGUGCGAGCGUUGUCCGGAUUUAUUGGGCGUAAAGAGCUCGUAGGCGGUUUGUCGCGUCGGCCGUGAAAUCUCCACGCUUAACGUGGAGCGUGCGGUCGAUACGGGCAGACUUGAGUUCGGUAGGGGAGACUGGAAUUCCUGGUGUAGCGGUGAAAUGCGCAGAUAUCGGGAGGAACACCAGUAGCGAAGGCGGCACUCUGGGCCGGUACUGACGCUGAGGAGCGAAAGCGUGGGGAGCAAACAGG